UGCUGCAUGGCUGUCGUCAGCUCGUGUCGUGAGAUGUUCGGUUAAGUCCGCUAACGAGCGCAACCCUCGCUGUGUGUUACAAGUGUCACACGGAACUGCCGGUCAUAAACCGGAGGAAGGUGGGGAUGACGUCAAGUCAGCAUGGCCUUUAUAUCCUGGGCUACACACACGCUACAAUGGGAAGGGACAAUAGGUUGCGAAGCCGCGAGGCGGAGCCAAUCCAGCAAAACUUCCCUCAGCUCAGAUUGCAGGCUGCAACUCGCCCGCAUGAAGUUGGAGUUGCUAGUAAACGCAGGUCAGCCAUACUGCGUUGAAUACGUUCCCGGGGCUU
This 331-nucleotide ribosomal RNA is filed under the name uncultured Anaerolineaceae bacterium. Its description in RNAcentral is "bacterial SSU rRNA". It matches the Rfam family "Bacterial small subunit ribosomal RNA", at positions 1039 to 1382 of the family's 1533-position model. Lineage: Bacteria; Bacillati; Chloroflexota; Anaerolineae; Anaerolineales; Anaerolineaceae. The record is from RNAcentral.